CGUGAGCGAGCAGGUUACACAGUCAUAUCAUAUUUAGAGAACUUUAAUGCAGUAUAACCUUACUAAAAAACAUAAAAUAGCACAAACGAGGUUAGCUCAUAUUCGCACAGUCACCAAAUCUGUCGUGCGGAUGUUCUUCAAUUUACUGACUAAAAUAUAAUUUUGAUUACGCCCACCCCCCGCCAUAAACAUGGACAUCAAUGCAUCAGUGUUAGCAAACAUGCAUCACCUUUGUUGAGGCCCUUGGAACAUGCUUGGUACUCCCUGGGCUGCUUGACUCCAGAGAUAACAUGGCAGAUUAAAAGGAUUGUAGCAAUACGUUUUACCACAAUGGAGUUAAAAGAAGAGGUGGUCUCUCCAUUAAAGUGGUAAAUGGACCCUGGAGGAGUUUAUCAUUAUUCUAAAUGUUUGCCAUAAUUCCGAUUAAGACAUGUCAAAUGUCUACUGUGAAUUUAGCCUCUUUUACUAUGACUCAUUGCUUCGUUUUGACAGGUGCAUAAAACUAGAGUUGUUGAGUUUAAAAACCCACAGGCUAUUGUACUUAAA
This is a long non-coding RNA of Cheilinus undulatus (humphead wrasse), 546 nucleotides long. RefSeq lists it as uncharacterized. The record is from RefSeq and is a predicted model, not a curated record. The transcript is spliced from 3 exons. Lineage: Eukaryota; Metazoa; Chordata; Actinopteri; Labriformes; Labridae.